This is a long non-coding RNA of Spea bombifrons (plains spadefoot toad), 2040 nucleotides long. RefSeq lists it as uncharacterized. The record is from RefSeq and is a predicted model, not a curated record. The transcript is spliced from 6 exons. NCBI's taxonomy places the organism in Eukaryota, Metazoa, Chordata, Amphibia, Anura, Pelobatidae.
AUCUUCAGUAAGCCAGUGCACUCUCUGCCAGUUGGACCACUGCAUUUCUAAUACCGCACUGCACUCCUGAUACACCACUGCAUCCUGAACCCCCAUAAUUAAUCCAUAAUGAUCAUUACUUCUUCUUAGAUCUUAGCAGACAACCGAUAUAUCACUCCACCCAACCUACUACUCUCUACAGCCCAAUGUAUUCCCAGAAUCCCACAGCGAUGCCAGUUUCCGAUCUAUGUUCUUCCAGCAUCCCGAAGUACAAGAGCCUCCCCUUAUCUUGGUCUUGACUCUCCUUCCGUGACCAUCCUUGGCUGGAAUUUCCUUCUUCGAUUGUGGACAGUGAAGUGCACGCCAGAGACUACAGACUUGCCCUGGCCUCUCCUUUUGGACAAGUCUUCUUCAGCGCCUUGUAUUCUAGUCUUCUCCUCGGUCCUAUACAAGAGGAACUCGGAGAACAAAUCAAAUUCCAAAGUUGUGUAAAUGACUUUGUCUUCAUCCAUUAAUGAGAUGAUCCUCGCAAAUAAUUCUCAGAAUUUUCUGCAUCUAUCACAGAAAUGACUACUACUACCACAACUAACAAUAAUAUUCAUCUACAAAAAAAGAACCAGAGAGACAGAGAAAAGAAGAGACUGGAUCCAAAGCACACCAGCCACCUUCCAGGUAUUUCCAAGUUUAAAGGAAGUUCUAAUAGGUUUGGUGACUAGUUCAAGGAUUUUUCUCUCACUCUCUUGGAGUUAAAUGGGAUCUCAUGAAUUAUUCCUAAGCUAUUGAGAAAGGGGUAACUAAUAGGCGUGAAUAAAAAAAAAAAGUAAAAUAGAUCAUGCAGUGCCUACACAAUAGAUAUCCUUGCUCUCUGGACAAUGAAUGGAGAACUCUCUUAGGAUUUCUGCACACGUCUGCCAACAGCUUGGCCAGUUCUGAGAACCACAAAUGAUUCCCAGACGCAUCUUUAGGAAGCUGUGUGAAAAUAGGCACAAGACAUCAAAUUAUUACAACUAAGUUAAGUGAGCCCCCCGCCUCCCCUUUGCCCACCCCUGGCCUUAUCUCCCCCGACACACUCUUUCUCUCCCUUUUCUUUAAACACACACACACGCUAUAUGUCAUCCUUGGCAUCAGUUGGGUGUCAGCGGUCUACUUACCUAAAGUUUUUUGCAAGGGAUUUAACCCAACCUGGAAGAUAAACCUUACAAAACCGGAGUCCCAGUCUACGAGCUAGGAGAAGACGUAACCAAGAUCACUUAAAACACAACAAGAACAAGUGGGCAUUCCGAGCUCCGAAGGCACGGACACAAUCCCGUAUUUCCGGUACACGAGGUGCCAGCCGGGUGAUACACUGGCAGCAGAAUAUAUGGAGGACAUAUGUCUUGAAGGACAAUGAAUGCAGUGUUCAACAACUACAUAUCACGGGAAACGGAAGCUGGAUUUAAGAUGAAGAAUAAAUACGAUGAAGAAGAAGAGAAAUUAUCCCCACGCGCUAAUCAUUAUGGACUCAAGUGCUGUGUGUCCUUGCUGGACAUGAAGGAAAUGUAUUCCAUAUGUCAUCGAUGGAACUGGAUGUUCAAGAAGACUCAUCAAGCUGUCCUGGCAACGCCUUCAGAUGAGAGACUGCUGUGACACGGAAGGCUGAGCGCUUCCUAAGGAAAGAGGAGCCUAUCCUAUGACGACUAUGAAAAGGAGCAGGGCCCUUGCAGCAGUGCCCCCUGCAGGCUGUUGUUGAAUUCGCAGAGAAAAACACAACCAUGUAAGUAUGUGUUUGUGCCGAGGCAUCCAUCUACAUUGUGUAGCAGUGAAGCAGACCCAUGGGGUAAAGAGUGGUGUCAGAGGGUGAAAAGCUGUCCCAAAGAAAACCAGGAUUCAAGAUGUAAGUUAAUUAAGAAGGGUAUUACAACUGAUAAGUAAGAUACAAAAUAAAUGAAAGGCCAGGCUAAAAGGUACAAUUAGAGACGAUGCAUGAAAGGAUUAUGUGGACAUUUAGAGAUAUCAAAUAUAAUGCUUUAUAUUGAGGAGAUCAUCAUAAUGGAAGGUGGCAUACAGAGAUGAAAAAAAUAA